RNAcentral lists this long non-coding RNA (452 nucleotides) under Elaeis guineensis (African oil palm). RNAcentral's name for it is "long non-coding RNA (EGUI_LNC016588)". Lineage: Eukaryota; Viridiplantae; Streptophyta; Magnoliopsida; Arecales; Arecaceae. The record is from RNAcentral.
AGAGGGCCAAAAUCGGUGGUCGGCAGCGACCACCGGCGUCGGAAAUCAAAGAAAAACGAGCAAAAUAUAGAGGUUCUUCCGCAACAAAAUUCGGCGACUCCGGUCGCCGGCGAGCAUGCACACUGGCAUGGAAAGGAAGGGGGAGAAGAGAGGAAGGGGAGGAGGCUUACCUCCGACGCCGGUGAGACUUUUUCGGCGAGCAAUUGGACGGCACAGGGACGGAUCUUCCGUGAGAAUUUUUCGGCGAUUGCCGCCGACUGAGCUUGUGAUCUUUGGUGGAAGGGAGAGAGGAGGGAUCUCCUCCUUAAAUAAUACCGGAGGGAGCUCGUCUCAGACUCUGAUUGGGAGCCGGCGAGAGGAGGAAGAAGACUCCCUUCGGGAGUCUUCUCCCCUGUUUUUCUUUCUUUUUUUUUUUUGUUGGGCUGGCUGGGAUUCUGACAUGGGUUGGGCCG